CAGUAGCCGCGGUAAUACGUAGGUGGCAAGCGUUGUCCGGAAUUAUUGGGCGUAAAGGGCUCGCAGGCGGUUUCUUAAGUCUGAUGUGAAAGCCCCCGGCUCAACCGGGGAGGGUCAUUGGAAACUGGGAAACUUGAGGGCAGAAGAGGAGAGUGGAAUUCCACGUGUAGCGGUGAAAUGCGUAGAGAUGUGGAGGAACACCAGUGGCGAAGGCGACUCUCUGGUCUGUAACUGACGCUGAGGAGCGAAAGCGUGGGGAGCGAACAGGAUUAGAGACCCCCGUAGUCCCUGUCUCUUAUAC
RNAcentral lists this ribosomal RNA (301 nucleotides) under uncultured bacterium. RNAcentral describes it as "partial 16S ribosomal RNA". It matches the Rfam family "Bacterial small subunit ribosomal RNA", at positions 509 to 807 of the family's 1533-position model. The record is from RNAcentral.